Molecule: long non-coding RNA, 333 nt
Filed under: Gossypium barbadense (sea-island cotton)
Lineage: Eukaryota; Viridiplantae; Streptophyta; Magnoliopsida; Malvales; Malvaceae
Description: long non-coding RNA (GBAR_LNC019281)
Source: RNAcentral
CGAAUUUGUACUAUCCCAUAUUCCGGAGAUAUGGUAAAUACCAUUAUGAAAGAUUUUUAGUGCGGAUUUAUUUCUCACGAUUCUUGACUGGAACGAAUACCGGGCUAAAGCUAAGUAGAAGUUUAGUAAAGCAUGAAAUUGAUCAUGUUUUGUUGGUGUAUGUAAAUGGAUUUAAUAAAUAUGGUAGAAGGUGGAAAGGGAAGGAGUUUGGAAAUCAAUUAAACAUAAUUUGUAAAAGGAAAGUAAUAUGAAACGGAAAUGGCAGAAUGCUUAUUCAAAGGAAAGAAAAAUGGUUACAGACGUAUGAAAGAAAUAAAUUGCUCUGUAUUUCCA